GACGAACGCUGGCGGCGUGCUUAACACAUGCAAGUCGAACGGAAAGGCCCUGCUUUUGUGGGGUGCUCGAGUGGCGAACGGGUGAGUAACACGUGAGUAAUCUGCCCUUGACUUUGGGAUAACUUCAGGAAACUGGGGCUAAUACCGGAUAGGAGCUCCUGCUGCAUGGUGGGGGUUGGAAAGUUUCGGCGGUUGGGGAUGGACUCGCGGCUUAUCAGCUUGUUGGUGGGGUAGUGGCUUACCAAGGCUUUGACGGGUAGCCGGCCUGAGAGGGUGACCGGCCACAUUGGGACUGAGAUACGGCCCAGACUCCUACGGGAGGCAGCAGUGGGGAAUAUUGCACAAUGGGCGGAAGCCUGAUGCAGCAACGCCGCGUGCGGGAUGACGGCCUUCGGGUUGUAAACCGCUUUCGCCUGUGACGAAGCGUGUGUGACGGUAAUGGGUAAAGAAGCACCGGCUAACUACGUG
RNAcentral lists this ribosomal RNA (468 nucleotides) under uncultured bacterium. Its description in RNAcentral is "partial 16S ribosomal RNA". It matches the Rfam family "Bacterial small subunit ribosomal RNA", at positions 28 to 507 of the family's 1533-position model. The record is from RNAcentral.